Molecule: ribosomal RNA, 729 nt
Filed under: uncultured Staphylococcus sp.
Lineage: Bacteria; Bacillati; Bacillota; Bacilli; Caryophanales; Staphylococcaceae
Description: bacterial SSU rRNA
Rfam family: Bacterial small subunit ribosomal RNA
Source: RNAcentral
UGCCUAAUACAUGCAAGUCGAGCGAACGGACGAGAAGCUUGCUUCUCUGAUGUUAGCGGCGGACGGGUGAGUAACACGUGGAUAACCUACCUAUAAGACUGGGAUAACUUCGGGAAACCGGAGCUAAUACCGGAUAAUAUUUUGAACCGCAUGGUUCAAAAGUGAAAGACGGUCUUGCUGUCACUUAUAGAUGGAUCCGCGCUGCAUUAGCUAGUUGGUAAGGUAACGGCUUACCAAGGCAACGAUGCAUAGCCGACCUGAGAGGGUGAUCGGCCACACUGGAACUGAGACACGGUCCAGACUCCUACGGGAGGCAGCAGUAGGGAAUCUUCCGCAAUGGGCGAAAGCCUGACGGAGCAACGCCGCGUGAGUGAUGAAGGUCUUCGGAUCGUAAAACUCUGUUAUUAGGGAAGAACAUAUGUGUAAGUAACUGUGCACAUCUUGACGGUACCUAAUCAGAAAGCCACGGCUAACUACGUGCCAGCAGCCGCGGUAAUACGUAGGUGGCAAGCGUUAUCCGGAAUUAUUGGGCGUAAAGCGCGCGUAGGCGGUUUUUUAAGUCUGAUGUGAAAGCCCACGGCUCAACCGUGGAGGGUCAUUGGAAACUGGAAAACUUGAGUGCAGAAGAGGAAAGUGGAAUUCCAUGUGUAGCGGUGAAAUGCGCAGAGAUAUGGAGGAACACCAGUGGCGAAGGCGACUUUCUGGUCUGUAACUGACGCUGAUGUGCGA